GCGGUAACACCAGCCCCUCGAGUGGUGGGGAUGUUUAUUUGGCCUAAAGCGUUCGUAGCCGGCUCGGUAAGUCCCCCGUUAAAUCCAGCGUCCCAAGCGCUGGGCCGCGAGGGAGACUGCCGAGCUAGAGGGUGGGAGAGGUCAGCGGUAUUCCUGGGGUAGGGGCGAAAUCCUUUGAUCCCAG
RNAcentral lists this ribosomal RNA (184 nucleotides) under uncultured archaeon. RNAcentral describes it as "partial 16S ribosomal RNA". It matches the Rfam family "Archaeal small subunit ribosomal RNA", at positions 467 to 651 of the family's 1478-position model. The record is from RNAcentral.